AUGUCUGCGAGAGCAGCUCAGCGGGGCUGUGGAGGGAGUUUCACUCCAAGAGUGAAGAAGUACCUUCACCUCGGGCCACGUCCCGGCUGGCUCUGGGCGUCCUCAGCUUCGGACAUGCCUGGGAGCAGGACAGCCUCGUGCGCACCCAUCCUAUUGAUCCUCCAGCUCUGGGACCUCUACCCACGGUGUGCUGGAGCCAUGAACGCCCUUGCCUCCUCAGAGCUGCUCCCCGCAGUUUUGCAUCCUGCUUUGGGCCAGGACACAUCACUGGUUGUCCAAGCAUAGUCUCCUGACUACAGACAGCUGAGUUGUGGGCUCAGUAUCCUCUUGUUCUGUGGCACAUUAUUUUUACUUAAAAGCACGACUGGCAGAUGGACAAUGGUUGCUUGGCAGCACAUACUAUAUACUCAAGGAUAUCCAAUUAUCAAAAACAGCUAACAAAACACUUCUCUCCCAGCUAUGUAUCUGUUCAAGACCAGAUUGUUUUCAUAAAUUUCAAACAAAGCAACAGAUAGUAAAUUGAAUGUAGAAACAGAUUGGAGAAUCCAGUUGCCUUUUGUAAAAUCAAAUCUCCAAAAAUGCAAAACAAUGCUCCUCUGCUUGGUGUGCUUGUCUGUGUGUGUUAGAAAAUACAAUUGUUUAACAUUAAAUGCUUAUGUUAGUGUUUAUUGAAUGUGUUGUCAUUUUUACAUGAAUUGGUAAGUAUUUAAAAAUGUAUCAUGGGUGAGCAUUUGGCACAGCAGUUAAGACACCCACAUGCCAUACCUGAGUGCCUCAGUGGGAGAUCAGGCUCCAAUUUUGAUUUUAGCUUCCUGCUAAUGUGCACCCUGGAAGGCACCAUGUGAUGGCUCAUAUUCUCUGCUACCCACGUGGGAAACCAGGCUUGAGUUCCUGGCACCCGGCUUCAGCCUGACCCAGCCUCAGCUAUUGCAGCCAUUUGUGGAGUCAAUCAAUGGAUGGAAGAUUUCUCUCUUUGUCUCUCUGCCUCCCAGAUAAAUUAAAUAAAGACAAAAAAUAUAUAAAUCUAUCA
This 1030-nucleotide long non-coding RNA is filed under the name Oryctolagus cuniculus (rabbit). RNAcentral's name for it is "lncRNA (ENSOCUG00000030123.1)". The record is from RNAcentral. Lineage: Eukaryota; Metazoa; Chordata; Mammalia; Lagomorpha; Leporidae.